UGGUAGAAGCAAAUCCGUGCGCGCCAAAAUAAAUAAUCUGACGACGGAAGAAAGGAUCUAUCUUAUCGAGUGCUUCUUUUCCAGAGGAAAAGUGUAUAGCUUAUAGGGGGUUUCGUACGUAAAUAUGGAACAUAAAGUAUAAGAGCGAAAACACACUGGAAAGUAUGGAACUCUCCAAGACCGUAGACAUGAUAUGCCAGCCAGGUCCUUCAGUAAGUCUGUAGCUGUAGAAGGAAAUAUUGAAGAUAUUAAAAAUUAUUUCGAAGAGAAUCCAAAUACUUCGAUUCGGAAAGCUGCUCAAGCCGUUGAAAUAUCAAAAACAAUGUUACACAGGAUUUUAAAACAUUUCCUGAAAAUGCGUCCGUAUAAAAUAACAUCUCAUCAAUCGCUAACCGAACGCGCUAUGACGAAACGUGUGGAAUUUUG
Long non-coding RNA from Harpegnathos saltator (Jerdon's jumping ant), 426 nucleotides. RefSeq lists it as uncharacterized. The record is from RefSeq and is a predicted model, not a curated record. The transcript is spliced from 2 exons. Lineage: Eukaryota; Metazoa; Arthropoda; Insecta; Hymenoptera; Formicidae.